This 763-nucleotide ribosomal RNA is filed under the name Bacillus zhangzhouensis. RNAcentral describes it as "bacterial SSU rRNA". It matches the Rfam family "Bacterial small subunit ribosomal RNA", at positions 41 to 787 of the family's 1533-position model. Lineage: Bacteria; Bacillati; Bacillota; Bacilli; Caryophanales; Bacillaceae. The record is from RNAcentral.
GGCGUGCCUAAUACAUGCAAGUCGAGCGGACAGAAGGGAGCUUGCUCCCGGAUGUUAGCGGCGGACGGGUGAGUAACACGUGGGUAACCUGCCUGUAAGACUGGGAUAACUCCGGGAAACCGGAGCUAAUACCGGAUAGUUCCUUGAACCGCAUGGUUCAAGGAUGAAAGACGGUUUCGGCUGUCACUUACAGAUGGACCCGCGGCGCAUUAGCUAGUUGGUGGGGUAAUGGCUCACCAAGGCGACGAUGCGUAGCCGACCUGAGAGGGUGAUCGGCCACACUGGGACUGAGACACGGCCCAGACUCCUACGGGAGGCAGCAGUAGGGAAUCUUCCGCAAUGGACGAAAGUCUGACGGAGCAACGCCGCGUGAGUGAUGAAGGUUUUCGGAUCGUAAAGCUCUGUUGUUAGGGAAGAACAAGUGCGAGAGUAACUGCUCGCACCUUGACGGUACCUAACCAGAAAGCCACGGCUAACUACGUGCCAGCAGCCGCGGUAAUACGUAGGUGGCAAGCGUUGUCCGGAAUUAUUGGGCGUAAAGGGCUCGCAGGCGGUUUCUUAAGUCUGAUGUGAAAGCCCCCGGCUCAACCGGGGAGGGUCAUUGGAAACUGGGAAACUUGAGUGCAGAAGAGGAGAGUGGAAUUCCACGUGUAGCGGUGAAAUGCGUAGAGAUGUGGAGGAACACCAGUGGCGAAGGCGACUCUCUGGUCUGUAACUGACGCUGAGGAGCGAAAGCGUGGGGAGCGAACAGGAUUAGAUACCC